CUUACCGGGUCCGGACACACUGAGGAUUGACAGGCAAAAGAUACAAGUUUUCUUUGUGAGAGCUUGCAUUGUAAAAUAUGCGAGUCCUUUCAUGAUUAUGUGAUAGGUGGUGCAUGGCCGUUCUUAGUUCGUGGAGUGAUCUGUCUGCUUAAUUGCGUUUCACAACGAUUUAAAAUGCUAUGUUUUCUGUGUUUGCUGUUCGGUUUUAGCUCUUACGGGAGUUUUUAACUUUGAACGCACACGGCGUAGCUUAAAACAAUCGGAAAGCAACGAACGUGACCGCAACCUCUUGUUGCCUUUAUUUUUAAAAGCGUGGAAAAUUUUAUAUUUUCUUACGCUUGAAAAAGGCUUUAAAACUAGAGGGACCGCUGUUCUAUUCUCUUAAACCAGAGGAAGAUUGCGGCAAUAACAGGUCUGUGAUGCCCUCAGAUGUUCCGGGCUGCACACGUGCUACAAUGAUUGUUGCAGUGAGCAUCUAUUUUCAAACGCUACCGUUGCGGAUUUUGUGAGAAGGGGGCUUGUUUUAAAGCUUUCGGGUGGAGAAGCGGGUUCUUUUUUUCACAAUUUAUUCCGCGUUACGUGUCAGCUAAACCUGCUUCGAAAGCAAGUAGGUAAUCAAUUGGAAGUAACGAUUUCCAUUUUUUGGAAAGCACAACUUUUUGGUUCGUAUGGUACUGCGAAGUUAACGCAGUUUACUGUGUCUUUCUCUCGUCGGUAUUCACACGGAUAUCUGUGCUACUAUUUUUAAAAUUCAAGGUGGGGACAGACCAUUGUUAAUUGUUGGUCUCGUUUUAACUAGGGAUGCCUUGUACGGGUUGGUUCAUCAAACCACCCGGAAUACGCCCCUGCCCUUUGUACACACCGCCCGUCGCUCUUACCGAUGGACUUCUCUGUGAGGUUGAGGGACUGGGUCCUUUGCGACCUACGGAAACUCAUUCGAACAGGGUGGUCUAAAGGAAAGAGAAGUCGUAACAAGGCAUCGGUAGGUGAACCUGCAGAAGGAUCA
Molecule: ribosomal RNA, 1006 nt
Filed under: Micrometula hyalostriata
Lineage: Eukaryota; Foraminifera; Allogromiidae
Description: bacterial SSU rRNA
Rfam family: Eukaryotic small subunit ribosomal RNA
Source: RNAcentral